UACGUAGGUGGCGAGCGUUGUCCAGAUUUACUGGGCGUAAAGGGAGCGUAGGCGGACUUUUAAGUGAGAUGUGAAAUACCCGGGCUCAACUUGGGUGCUGCAUUUCAAACUGGAAGUCUAGAGUGCAGGAGAGGAGAAUGGAAUUCCUAGUGUAGCGGUGUAAUGCGUAGAGAUUAGGAAGAACACCAGUGGCGAAGGCGAUUCUCUGGACUGUAACUGACGCUGAGGCUCGAAAGCGUGGGGAGCAAACAGGAUUAGAUA
RNAcentral lists this ribosomal RNA (261 nucleotides) under uncultured prokaryote. RNAcentral's name for it is "partial 16S ribosomal RNA". It matches the Rfam family "Bacterial small subunit ribosomal RNA", at positions 524 to 784 of the family's 1533-position model. The record is from RNAcentral.